UGUUUUCUCUAGUCUGUAAUCAAAUAUGUGUAAUUCAUUCUAAAAGGUCGCCUAUUGAAAGUCAAGAACAAAGUGUAAAGGUGUGCGAACAACCGCAGGAUGAUGGAAGGAUAAUACCGCGUCUAAAGAUCUUCAUCGCCCCUCCGCUGAUGGCUGACCUUAGUGACCCUACCGUCGGGCUCAGCAGUCUUCCUCAAGAAAUGGUGCAGGACGGAUGGAAAAGCCCUUCAUCGCCUCCCGCUGAUGGAUGACCUCAGUGACCCCAUCACCAGGCUCAGCAGGUUUUCUGGAAGACACCCUAGAAGUGUUCCCAGAUGAGCAGGAUGGACGGACGGAUGGAAAAGCCCUUCAUCGCCUCCCAAGGAUGGACGGACGGAUGGAAAAGCCCUUCAUCGCCUCCCAAGGAUGGACGGACGGAUGGAAAAGCCCUUCAUCGCCUCCCAAGGAUGGACGGACGGAUGGAAAAGCCCUUCAUCGCCUCCCAAGGAUGGACGGACGGAUGGAAAAGCCCUUCAUCGCCUCCCAAGGAUGGACGGACGGAUGGAAAAGCCCUUCAUCGCCACGGACGGACGGAUGGAUGGAUGGAAAAGCCCUUCAUCGCCACGGACGGAUGGAUGGAUGGAAAAGCCCUUCAUCGCCUCCCGCUGAUGGAUGACCUCAGUGACCCCAUCACCAGACUCGGCAGGUUUCCUGGAAGACACCCUAGAAGUGUUCCCAGAUGAGCAGGAAUCCUCCUGGAUCAUCCGAUUUCGUCCUUCAUCGCCUCCCAACGACGGACAAAAGAAAAUGACUGAACUUGAAACAACUCGGUUUCUUUUUUUUUCUGUCUAGGAUAAUUUUGUUUAGAAAUUUCAUAAUGUUAUUUUUAUACAUUUAAAUUGUCUUUCAUUGUUAAAGGUUAGUUAGAAUUUAAUGUCUGGUUUAGGUUACUGGAGGAUAAAUCAGUCAUUUUUCAACUGUUAACAUUUUUGUUUCUCGGUUAUUUUUCUCCACAGAAACUACGCUGGGUCUGGCGUUCUGAUUGGCUGUGGUUCCUUCCUGGAGGAGGACGUUGGCUGACAUGACGCUGCCAGCCGACCCUUCUCCGUCUCCGGCUGCCAACGUUUCCAUGAACGUAGUAAGUUCUCCUGAACAGUUGCUCUGUUGUGUUUCUGCUCCGUCUUCUCUCAGCUCCAGUCGGUCCUGGCAGGUGGCUGCAGAUACUGAGCCCGGUUC
Long non-coding RNA from Xiphophorus hellerii (green swordtail), 1215 nucleotides. RefSeq lists it as uncharacterized. The record is from RefSeq and is a predicted model, not a curated record. The transcript has 4 exons. NCBI's taxonomy places the organism in Eukaryota, Metazoa, Chordata, Actinopteri, Cyprinodontiformes, Poeciliidae.